UACAGGGGGGGCAAGCGUUGUUCGGAAUUACUGGGCGUAAAGGGUUCGUAGGUGGCCACUUAAGUCAGACGUGAAAGCCCCCGGCUCAACUGGGGAGGGUCACGCGAUACUGUUCGACUCGAAGGCAGGAGAGGGAAGUGGAAUUCCCGGUGUAGUGGUGAAAUGCGUAGAUAUCGGGAAGAACACCGAUGGCGAAGGCAGCCAUCUGGACCGACACUGACGCUGAGGCGCGAAAGCGUGGGGAGCAAACAGG
RNAcentral lists this ribosomal RNA (253 nucleotides) under uncultured bacterium. RNAcentral's name for it is "partial 16S ribosomal RNA". It matches the Rfam family "Bacterial small subunit ribosomal RNA", at positions 524 to 776 of the family's 1533-position model. The record is from RNAcentral.